CGGCCCCCUGGCACAACACUGACGCUCAGGUGCGAAAGCGUGGGGAGCAAACAGGUUUAGAUACCCUGGUAGUCCACGCCGUAAACGAUGUCUACUAGCUGUUCGUGACCUUGUGUCGUGAGUAGCGCAGCUAAUGCACCAAGUAGACCGCCUGGGGAGUACGGUCGCAAGAUUAAAACUCAAAUGAAUUGACGGGGGCCCGCACAAGCGGUGGAGCAUGUGGUUUAAUUCGACGCAACGCGAAGAACCUUACCUACUCUUGACAUCCAGAGAAGACUGCAGAGAUGCGGUUGUGCCUUCGGGAACUCUGAGACAGGUGCUGCAUGGCUGUCGUCAGCUCGUGUUGUGAAAUGUUGGGUUAAGUCCCGCAACGAGCGCAACCCUUAUCCUUAGUUGCCAGCACGUAAUGCUGGGAACUCUAGGGAGACUGCCGGUGAUAAACCGGAGGAAGGUGGGGACGACGUCAAGUCAUCAUGGCCCUUACGAGUAGGGCUACACACGUGCUACAAUGGUAUGUACAGAGGGAGGCAAGCUGGCGACAGUGAGCGGAUCUCUUAAAGCAUAUCGUAGUCCGGAUCGCAGUCUGCAACUCGACUGCGUGAAGUCGGAAUCGCUAGUAAUCGCAAAUCAGAAUGUUGCGGUGAAUACGUUCCCGGGCCUUGUACACACCGCCCGUCACACCAUGGGAGUGGGUUGCAAAAGAAGUAGGUAGCUUAACCUUCGGGAGGGCGCUUACCACUUUGUGAUUCAUGACUGGGGUGAAGUCGUAACAAGGUAACCAUAGAGUUUGAUCCUGGCGGACGG
RNAcentral lists this ribosomal RNA (804 nucleotides) under uncultured bacterium. Its description in RNAcentral is "bacterial SSU rRNA". It matches the Rfam family "Bacterial small subunit ribosomal RNA", at positions 722 to 1533 of the family's 1533-position model. The record is from RNAcentral.